RNAcentral lists this ribosomal RNA (467 nucleotides) under uncultured bacterium. RNAcentral's name for it is "partial 16S ribosomal RNA". It matches the Rfam family "Bacterial small subunit ribosomal RNA", at positions 28 to 507 of the family's 1533-position model. The record is from RNAcentral.
GAUGAACGCUGGCGGCGUGCUUAACACAUACAAGUCGAACGGAAAGGCCCAAGCUUGCUUGGGUACUCGAGUGGCGAACGGGUGAGUAACACGUGGGUGAUCUGCCCUGCACUUCGGGAUAAGCCUGGGAAACUGGGUCUAAUACCGGAUAGGACCACUUCUUGGAUGUUGUGGUGGAAAGUUUUUUCGGUGUGGGAUGAGCUCGCGGCCUAUCAGCUUGUUGGUGGGGUAAUGGCCUACCAAGGCGUCGACGGGUAGCCGGCCUGAGAGGGUGUACGGCCACAUUGGGACUGAGAUACGGCCCAGACUCCUACGGGAGGCAGCAGUGGGGAAUAUUGCACAAGGGGCGCAAGCCUGAUGCAGCGACGCCGCGUGGGGGAUGACGGCCUUCGGGUUGUAAACUCCUUUCGCUAGGGACGAAGCGUUUUGUGACGGUACCUGGAGAAGAAGCACCGGCUAACUACGUG